RNAcentral lists this ribosomal RNA (573 nucleotides) under uncultured bacterium. RNAcentral describes it as "partial 16S ribosomal RNA". It matches the Rfam family "Bacterial small subunit ribosomal RNA", at positions 355 to 920 of the family's 1533-position model. The record is from RNAcentral.
UGGGGAAUUUUGGACAAUGGGCGAAAGCCUGAUCCAGCAAUGCCGCGUGUGUGAAGAAGGCCUUCGGGUUGUAAAGCACUUUUGUCCGGAAAGAAAUCCUUGGCUCUAAUACAGUCGGGGGAUGACGGUACCGGAAGAAUAAGCACCGGCUAACUACGUGCCAGCAGCCGCGGUAAUACGUAGGGUGCAAGCGUUAAUCGGAAUUACUGGGCGUAAAGCGUGCGCAGGCGGUUUGCUAAGACCGAUGUGAAAUCCCCGGGCUCAACCUGGGAACUGCAUUGGUGACUGGCAGGCUAGAGUAUGGCAGAGGGGGGUAGAAUUCCACGUGUAGCAGUGAAAUGCGUAGAGAUGUGGAGGAAUACCGAUGGCGAAGGCAGCCCCCUGGGCCAAUACUGACGCUCAUGCACGAAAGCGUGGGGAGCAAACAGGAUUAGAUACCCUGGUAGUCCACGCCCUAAACGAUGUCAACUAGUUGUUGGGGGAUUCAUUUCCUUAGUAACGUAGCUAACGCGUGAAGUUGACCGCCUGGGGAGUACGGUCGCAAGAUUAAAACUUAAAUGAAUUGACGGGGUC